AUGAGUUCUACAUCCACACCAACUGCUCUUUCCGUUGAGGUUGAGAGCAACCUACAGCUAGCACUAGUGCAUACACAUGACGAAGCUCCACAACUGGAGAGGGAGAGAGGCUCCCCGUCCCCAAUUGUAGAAGAUGAUGAAGCAGUUGAUGAAGAUGAUGAACCAAGUCCCCAAUUCGAAGCAGAUUUGGCGGCUCUGGAACGUGAUUCUGGCAAGCGACUUCCCAUAUCUUCAUAUCAUGUCAAUGGCCGGGAUGUAAUUAGAAGGAGAUACAUUGACUUGGGAGCUUGUCAACCAAAGGGUCACAAAUUUGAGAUCAGAGAUUUUAGUGAACAUCCCCGUCACUUUUGUCCUUCUUGGUUUAAGGAUUACAAGUGUGAAAGAUCGUGGAUGUCGCCUAGAGGGGGGAGGGGGUGA
This 417-nucleotide ribosomal RNA is filed under the name Triticum aestivum (bread wheat). Its description in RNAcentral is "partial small subunit ribosomal RNA". Lineage: Eukaryota; Viridiplantae; Streptophyta; Magnoliopsida; Poales; Poaceae. The record is from RNAcentral.